CCUACGGGUGGCAGCAGUGAGGAAUAUUGGUCAAUGGACGAGAGUCUGAACCAGCCAAGUAGCGUGAAGGAUGACUGCCCUAUGGGUUGUAAACUUCUUUUAUAAAGGAAUAAAACGAGGCACGUGUGCCUUUUUGCAUGUACUUGAUGAAUAAGGAUCGGCUAACUCCGUGCAAGCAGCCGCGGUAAUACGGAGGAUCCGAGCGUUAUCCGGAUUUAUUGGGUUUAAAGGGAGCGUAGAUGGGUUGUUAAGUCAGUUGUGAAGGUUUGCGGCUCAACCGUAAAAUUGCAAUUGAUACUGGCAGUCUUGAGUACAGUUGAGGUAGGCGGAAUUCGUGGUGUAGCGGUGAAAUGCUUAGAUAUCACGAAGAACCCCGAUUGCGAAGGCAGCUUACUAAACUGUGACUGACAUUGAUGCUCGAAAGUGUGGGUAUCAAACAGGAUUAGAUACCCGAGUAGUC
This 460-nucleotide ribosomal RNA is filed under the name uncultured bacterium. RNAcentral describes it as "partial 16S ribosomal RNA". It matches the Rfam family "Bacterial small subunit ribosomal RNA", at positions 338 to 795 of the family's 1533-position model. The record is from RNAcentral.